ACCAGAUUCGCUCCCGUGCUUUGUUGUGGCAAAGCUCGCAUACUUCAGUAUGCUUCGCUUCACCACGCCGCGCCCGGAAACGAAUCAAAGGUAAGAGGUUCUGACUACACGAUGGGGCUAUAGCUCAGCUGGGAGAGCGCCUGCUUUGCACGCAGGAGGUCUGCGGUUCGAUCCCGCAUAGCUCCACCAUCUCGUGAGUGUUUA
Molecule: transfer RNA, 204 nt
Filed under: Salmonella sp.
Lineage: Bacteria; Pseudomonadati; Pseudomonadota; Gammaproteobacteria; Enterobacterales; Enterobacteriaceae
Description: partial 16S-23S ribosomal RNA intergenic spacer
Rfam family: tRNA (bases 114-186)
Source: RNAcentral